Herpailurus yagouaroundi (jaguarundi) is the source of this 1129-nucleotide long non-coding RNA. RefSeq lists it as uncharacterized. The record is from RefSeq and is a predicted model, not a curated record. NCBI's taxonomy places the organism in Eukaryota, Metazoa, Chordata, Mammalia, Carnivora, Felidae. The transcript is spliced from 2 exons.
GGGAGCAGAGCUCUCCAAAUUUACCAUGAAAAGUGGGUUACACAGGAUAAUGGCUCCCUAAAAUGUCCAUAUCCUGACGAAAUGAACUUUGAUUAAAUUGAUUGACAGAGUGACAUUAACUGACGGCUUAAUAUGGAGGAAGGAGCCCUGAGCCAAAGAAUGCAGGCAGCUUCCAGAAGGUCUCCAAGACUUGAAGAUUAUGGUCCUCUUAAGUCCCUGAAUGCAAAGGAAGAAGCCAAACCAUACCUCAUAAUAUAGGAAUGGAAACAUCCCUUAAAUCCAGGCCACUUCCUGUGGUUGAGCAAGUGGUCACUGCACCAAAGAUGCCCAGCCACUGGUGUGACAUUCAAAUCCAGCUCAUGCUUUACUGCUCAGACCAGUCCAGACCACCAGCUCACUGAGUCCACUUGGAGGAAGGUUAUCUGUUUUCUUUGCCCAAGGCUUUGUCUGCUUGCCAAGCUCUAAGCCCACAAAGAUGCUGCUUUCCAGAAGGUGAACCUUAGUCCCAAUUCAUCCAUCCAAGGGGUACAUAUCUUCUUAAUUGAACAAAGGCAUAGUUUAAACUAAGCUGUCGUCCUGCUUAAUCCCAUUUUACACUCAUGCCUCCCUCAUCAUGGCGACAGCUUCCUUUGAAAUCUCUCGUUUUUCUUUUUUCACUUUCAUCUGCUGAUCUCUCUCUCUUUUACAACAACUCAAAUUCCACCUUUCCUUAGCUUUUUGUUUGUUUACAUUGUUUGAGAGUCACACUCUCUGUAAGAACAGGUGUUGCAAAUACCCACAGGUUAGUAUUUCUGACCCUAGCAUGCACGCAUCCUUCCACCCUCAGGCAAGACCUAUCCUCAGGAACUACCUAGAGAGGAAAUCACAGAAACACCGGAUGCCACGGACGAUCUGCUGUUUUCACACUACUCUAUGAGCUACUGAGGCAUCUCUAAUGGCCUCAUCAUUUUGCAAUUCCCCCUCCCCUCUGCUCCUAUGUCAUGGCAUUAUUCCCUUCACAGAGAGAUAAGACAUAGCCUGCAAAAAUGGCUGUCAUUAUUUCAGAGAGAGCAUGCAGGCUUGUAAUUGAUUUGUGAUUGGUGGAAGUGGGCACAGUAUGGUCUUUAAUAAAAGGGAGCUGUGUGCAACA